This is a long non-coding RNA of Rosa rugosa (rugosa rose), 1738 nucleotides long. RefSeq lists it as uncharacterized. The record is from RefSeq and is a predicted model, not a curated record. The transcript has 6 exons. Lineage: Eukaryota; Viridiplantae; Streptophyta; Magnoliopsida; Rosales; Rosaceae.
ACCCCCAGCUUAUCUUUUUGACAAAACUGAACUCCCAAAACUCCAUCUAGCAGAUGUUUUCUCUAAAUUGGAUGACUCGAUAAGCUUCAAGUUACCUAGAGAAUAUCUCUGGUGUGGUUAUCAGCUUAGGAUAGAGGUUGAAUUAGAGAUGGAGAUCAACUCAGCCAGCUCAAUUAGGAGAAGGAGACUCGAUGUCUGGCCCUUCAUAAAUAGCGGGAUCCAUACUGGAGAUGCUGCACUCUUAAUCGAAAGCUUGAACUGGUUCAGAUCCCUAUUGCGGCGGUUGGUCAGGAGCAAAGGGCUGGUGCGGCUCUUCUAGUACCACAUCUUUUGAAGAAAACAUAACUACCCCAGUAUUUUGGUGCUUGUGACUCUCAAGGAAAGAGAAAGAAAAUGACACUUCUCGAGGCUGCAAUCCAAGAGGUCCUGACCACAAGAAUACAAUAUUUUUUUGAAGAAGAUUUUCAUAGCUUGGUGUUCUUGUGCAGGAACUAUUACGUGGCUUUUAGGUGGCAUGAGUACACCUCUUGCUGCAUACUGAUGAUGCCCACAAGAAGGUAUCAGAACAAAUCAUCCAAUGCUAACCAUGCCCACCUUCUUUCUAUUGCACCCACCACUUGAAUUUGAACAGCUCUUGCAUUUGUGAUGCUUCUGUAUAUAUGUAUUUGUCGUAGGUUUCAAACGAUUCCCAUAAUUCUUCCACUUUAUGUUUUAGUGAUCACAGGUGAGCCAAAUAGAACACGCUGCCGAUUUGUGACUGAAGGCGAGCUGUGAUCUUGUUGUUGAAGGUGGAGACAUAGCUUGGCGUUGAAACUCUGCACCGGAAUCAUCUUGGAGCCGCUUCCCCACUAUUAUGAACCCAAGAACUUCGCAGAUUUGUCCUUGGUAUGAACCGGCAGCCCAAGGCUUUCAUUUGACGCUUAUUUUUGCCACCCAUAUGCAGGACGCACCGCGAUACAGGCAUUAACAAAAAAGUGCAGUGAACCCCCCUUCAACCUUUUCAACCUUACUCCCGCCACCUAUACGCAGGACGCCCCGCAAUAUAGGCAUCGAAAGCAAGCAUAGCAAAAUACACAGUGGGCAGCAGUAGAGUUUUUGAGGUUUUGUGGCUUUGAUGUUGGUGUAUUUGGCUUUGGGGGGUUUUGAGGCUUUUUAGUAUGGAGGAUUUGUUAUUGGUGCUGUUUUGGAAGGGUUAUAGAGCUCAUGCAUGUGAAAAGAAGCAAGUCUUCUGCACUCAUGGAGACGUCAGCAAUGGUAAAGGAAAAAAAAAAACAAGAAAGGCCAUAAACAUAUGACCAGCAGGAUACCUGAAUAUAAAGCUCUCCUGUCAUCGGAUUGUCAUCUCCAGCUUUGUGUUCUUUAUAUAGGAGGCAGUGAGGAUUCUGGAGGGCUAGAUAAUGCCUGUUUGAAAUUUGAAUUUCCCAAAGCACAUGAAGAUAAGCUGCUGAUCAAGGACUUUACCUUUGACUCCGAAAUUGAAUUUGGACGCCUUCUUCCACCUCAUUCUUAUCUCAUUUUGAGAUAUUUGAUUCAAAAUUUGAAAGAUUCCUUUUGUUUUCUGUUUUGUAGCUUUUCAACAUUCAAUUUGUUUGAAUUUGAAAGACAUAAUUUGUAACUAAAGCAUUUGUUUUUGCUGCCAUUAUCCUCUUCUCUCUUUUCUUUUGAAUAAUGUUGCGGUAACUACAUGCUUCAUAGUGGAUUUUAUUGAAGGAAGGGAUCCCAACUGAUUCCGUAAUUA